This is a long non-coding RNA of Plectropomus leopardus (leopard coralgrouper), 325 nucleotides long. RefSeq lists it as uncharacterized. NCBI's taxonomy places the organism in Eukaryota, Metazoa, Chordata, Actinopteri, Perciformes, Serranidae. The record is from RefSeq and is a predicted model, not a curated record.
UCCGAGGCAGCGGUGUGUGCUAACUUCCUGCUGCGGACUAUGCCGAUUUUUGUCUGAGAGGGCCAGAUAUUUUAAGUUUAAGUCACUUUUAUUGUCAGAGCAGAGAGUGGAGCCUUCCCUUUUUGCCGUGGGUAGAUGAGCGGACCGUGUGUUUCACAACAGAAGCGGAGGAGAGACGGGAUCCUGGACUGAUGAGAGCCGUGUAUUGUGCCCUGUGCCUGGAGUGUGUGUGUGUGUACAUGAACUGUGAGCCUCUGGUGAGUAACUUUUACUGAAGUUAGUCUGAUAAAUUGAGUGAAAUGUGCUGCUUCUGCUAAUGUUAAUA